Molecule: non-coding RNA, 29 nt
Filed under: Mus musculus (house mouse)
Lineage: Eukaryota; Metazoa; Chordata; Mammalia; Rodentia; Muridae
Source: RNAcentral
UAAUGAUUGACGUACUACAUAUGUGCCCC